Molecule: ribosomal RNA, 253 nt
Filed under: uncultured bacterium
Lineage: Bacteria
Description: partial 16S ribosomal RNA
Rfam family: Bacterial small subunit ribosomal RNA
Source: RNAcentral
UACAGAGGGUGCAAGCGUUAAUCGGAGUUACUGGGCGUAAAGGGCGCGUAGGCGGUUGUUUAAGUGAGAUGUGAAAUCCCCGGGCUUAACCUGGGAACUGCAUCUUAUACUGAAUGGCUUGAGUACUGUAGAGGGUAGUGGAAUUUCCGGUGUAGCGGUGAAAUGCGUAGAGAUCGGAAGGAACACCAGUGGCGAAGGCGGCUACCUGGACAGAUACUGACGCUGAGGCGCGAAAGCGUGGGGAGCAAACAGG